This is a non-coding RNA of Ictidomys tridecemlineatus (thirteen-lined ground squirrel), 1663 nucleotides long. Lineage: Eukaryota; Metazoa; Chordata; Mammalia; Rodentia; Sciuridae. The record is from RefSeq and is a predicted model, not a curated record.
UCGGUACCCUCAUCUCUUGCCCUGACUUCUGCCAUCACCCCACGCUGGUCUUCUUCGACACUGCCGCUUCCUUGGGUCCCCAUGACAACCCCACCCCAGGGCGGGCCCCCUCGGCGUCCUCCUGGCCCUUGCCUGGGCCUGCCAGACACACUUGCCCAGCAAGUGACGGCUCCACCUGCCUUUCGGCCGCCACCCUCCCAGCUCCCAAGAAUAGGAUGAGGGCCCAAUCCCGGGAGAGGGCAAGACCCUCAUCGGCAGGUGACGUGGGGCGGGGCAGCCGACGCAGAGCUGGGGAGGUUCCAAUCCAAACCUCAAAGAGCGUAGUGGGGGGCCAAGUACGACCCCCAAAUGGGGUGCGGCCGUCCCAUCCCCUCUCUGGCCGAGGGACAGGUACAGGGGACGCGAAGGAACUCGUUUGUUGUCACAAACAACGACGCGUCGUGGCGCCUAUAUAAAGGAUCCCACAAGAUUCUGAUAGUGGUGAUGUGCUGACCACAGUUCAAGAAACUGAGAGGAAAAAUAUCGAGAUAUAAAGUCCAUAGGAUAUGCUACACAUCAUCAUCAUGAAGCCUUUCCUCAGCUUGAUAAUGUAAUUUGUGCAUACAGUGGGCAAGGGUUAUGAUCCAAAUUCUAUAUUUUCUAUACUGGCAAAUGCUGAGGAAAUGUCAAGUUAGAAAUUUACUUUUUUUAACCUCAAAAGGUUCACUGGAUUCUGGUUUCAUUGAUGGGUCAGAACUAAAAUCUAUCAUAUUUUACAAGGGACUCGUUCUCCAGAAAUACUGCUGCGUCUGCUUCUACUGAUACCCACGAGAUCCCAACAAGAACAUAUCUGGCCCCUUAUUCUGCCACUGACUAUGUUUCCCAGGAGGGAUUAGAGGAGAUGAAGGCAAUGUGUGAUAGGCCAAAUAAUAGCCCUGCAAAUAUGUUCACACUCUAACCCCUGCAACCUAUAACUAUGUUACCUCACAUGAUAAAAGGACUUAACAGAUAUAAUUAAUGCUAAGGACCUUGAGAUGGGUAGAUUAUCCCAGAUUAUCUACGUGGGCCUAAUGAAAUCAUAGGAAUCCUUAAAACUAGAGUAGGAAGGCAGAAGUAUUGCUGACUUUGAAGAUGGAGGAAGGGUUCAUGAGCCAAGGCAAGCAAGUGGAAGAACUCUAGAAGCUGGGAAGAACCCUCAGCUGAGAGCCAAUAAGGAAAUGGAGUUAUCAGUCCCACAACCUCAAGGGGCCAAUUCUGCCAAUGAUCUAAAUGAGCAAGGAAAUAGGUUCUUUUCUACAGACUCCAGGAAGCAGCCCAUCCCUGCUGGCAGCUUGAUUUUACCUGGGGAGACCAAUGUUAGACUUCUAGCCUACAGAACUAUAGGAUAGAAAUUUUAAGCUGCUAAAUGUGAAUUUGUUAGGGCUUCAAGAAAAACAAAAUAAUACAUCACACUGGGAUGUGGAAAAAUAAUGGAAGGAACAGAAGGGUCAUGUCUUUCAGCUCCUUGAUAUCCAAGAUUUCUAAGCAGAAGAUCAUUCAGAUCAAGAUAAACAUGCAAAGAGAAAAUGAAUGUAAUUUGACUUGUUCUGAGAGAAAACUCUCAGUUAUGCCCAACUUCUAAGUAUUCAUUGAAUGAACCAAACUGAAUAAAGAAAAUUUUGGAAUUAAAGACUCAGAAAAAUGA